This 87-nucleotide unclassified non-coding RNA is filed under the name Pseudomonas synxantha. Lineage: Bacteria; Pseudomonadati; Pseudomonadota; Gammaproteobacteria; Pseudomonadales; Pseudomonadaceae. The record is from RNAcentral.
GUGGGAGGGGGCUUGCUCCCGAUAGCAGUGGGUCAGUCAAUGAAUGGGUGAUUGACACUCCGCUAUCGGGAGCAAGCCCCCUCCCAC